This is an RNA transcript of Pomacea canaliculata, 6527 nucleotides long. RefSeq lists it as uncharacterized. The record is from RefSeq and is a predicted model, not a curated record. Lineage: Eukaryota; Metazoa; Mollusca; Gastropoda; Architaenioglossa; Ampullariidae. The transcript has 3 exons.
UUAACAUCCUGUCCCCGUGGUACUUACCUCGUAACUCUGACCGCUCUUACCUCAGCAGGUUAACCCCUGAUCAAAGGUCACAUGACAACUUUAGUCGGUAGCUGGAACCAGUGAGUUCAGGAAGGGAAGAUGACUGGACGGUGGUUCGUCGGCUUACCUGUGAUAUAUCAAAAGAAAAAAAAAUAAACUUUGAGAUUUUGAUGGAAAGAUUUAAUCACAGAAAUUGCAUUUCAGCAUUAAGAGAGACGAUAUCAUCGUUUGUCGCGAGACGACAAACAGGGUAAAGGCGGAGACCUGCCACGCGCAGAAUAUGAUUUGUUGGGGGACUCGUUUGUCAAGCGGAAAUGACAUUCGAUCACUUGAUUGUUGUGAUCAGACCACGUAAAGUUCCACAACUGUGCAAACAACACGUGUGUGCAAAUACCAUCGGCUUUAGUCACGUGUAAACGACGAUUAAACAGUUUACAUUGUGUGUAAGCGAUCAUGGAAAAUGUAAUCAGUAGUGAACUUUAAGUGGUUCACCGUGCCUAGGGGAUUUCUGCUUGAUAGAUUGGUUGUCUAGUAGCAGAGCUGAAGUUCCCCCUCGGAAGCCGUAACAAACGGACUUAAAAAUGUAUUCAGUUUAGUUUGAAAAAGCGAAAACUUUCACAGAAGACUUAUUAGAACAUUUUUAAAUAAAUUUAAAUCAGGAAAAAUAAAAGUUCUGCAUGCCGGUUGAGAAAAACAAGGAUAAAAGGAGUGCAAUGGCCACACAUCUCCGGGUGUGUCGGGGGCAGGAGCCCAUGUUUAUUUGUUCAGAAUGGGAUUUCCAAGACUGAUAAUCUGCUUUUUUUCCGCACGCCACCUGUACAAUCGAUACGUCACACCUGCACGUCACUUUCUUCCACCUCGAUCCUCGUCUGAGCCUCGAUACCCGUGGGUGUAUUUGCUUUCCGUGGGUGAGGCCUGCACGUCAUUUAGCACUUCUGCAUCUCGAGUAUCAUCUGGCCGUGUUUUUGUUUCCUUAUUUGUCUCGUUUUACCUUGGCUUUAUCGCCGAUACCCGCUAUUUUUACUCACCUGUGUUUUCCCAAGGUCUUGUGUUCACCUGAGCCGGUUUCAUGUUUUGUUGGAUUUUUGGUUUCCAUGGAUGAGAACAGGCAUCACGCUGGGAGAACAAUGUCUGAGCUAUUUACAGUCGGGUGGCUGGGUUCUUCUUGUUUUGGUCUCUACAGAUGAUAAUUAUUUGUAAGCAGCCCGCAAAUAGGAGGAGGAUGCUGACAUGCUGUCUGACAAGAAAUUAUUUCAAUUUCCGCUUCAUCCUAAUUGUCGGAAAGCUUCAUGGUGAAGACAGAUUAACGGUAUUGCAGGUAAAUAUUCUCGCAUCAAACCCACACUUACUCUUGCAACCUCUUCUCUUGAGUUCAGCUUUUGAGUAGUUCAUCAACUGAUUCACUAAUUCCUCCAAAGCCAUCAAUAAAGCUGCAAUGAAUCGUUUGUGAUGAACUUGUCCAGCAGAGGAAUGUUUUGUGGGUUACUAGUUUGUAUCGCCAUGGAGACGAUGUUGCAUUGUUUUGUUAGGCCGUUGGAAAACCGCCAAAGAAACAAAAUGUUGAAUGUCGUUUCAGUUGUCUGAGGUAAUAAAAACAACAAACGAAAAAGCUUUGCCAAGUCCAUUUAGUGUAUCAAAAACAACAACAAGAAGAAGCUUAAAUAAAAAACAAAAACAAAAAACAAAAACAAAAAAACAAAAAAACAAAAAACAAAACAAAAAACAAGAGCUUUUGUUAGGCCGGCGUUUCGUGUUCCUUUUAUUUGUCGUUUCCUUCUUUUUUCAAACGACCAGAGAUUUCUUUGAAGGAAAAAAGCGUCUGACGUGUUCUCUACGUGUUCUCUACGUGAUGACUGUUUAGUAGCUUGAAUGAAUAAAUAUAUACGACACAAAGUACAGAGAAAGGUGAAAAGGCUUCAGCAUUCUAUUUGAUUUCUAGAUAAUGUCGGUUGAUUACAUUCCUGUCUGCCCUUUGUACGCUCCUGAAGAUGAUAUUUAUCCUGUGCGUGUAUCCUGCUGACAGGUACACACAGUAGUGCUCAACCCUGGAGUAUGUUUACACUGCUCACCUACAUCAUUAACUCAUUGAUGAAGAAAGAACCUUGUAUUAUGUAUGUGGUGUUCACAUGUACAUAUUGUUCAAGUUGAUGGUGACCUGAAUACAAUUUUAACUCGGACCUAAGUUUUUGUGUUUUUAUUUACAUGUGCACGUGCGGAUGUAGAGUUGUUACAAAAGUCUUGAGUAAACACGUCGUGGUGUGAGUGUUGUGUUUGUGUGUGUGUGUGAGUGAGAGAGAGACAGAAAGGGAGACAGAGUGUAUGUAUGCAUUAACUAAUUUUCAUGUUAUACCAAGAUUUCUUCAGAGAAUCCGAGAACUCUCAAAAUUAUUUCACUGGCAUCCCCGUCGUAAACUGAUUUGAGAAAGGCCGGUGUAAAGCACGUGAGAACCACACCUGUGUGAAAGGUUGCCACCUGCCCGGACGGACUAAGUACAGGUAAGCGCACCACGCAGCGUCGUUUCCGAUGCCGCUACAGGUUCAUCUGCUCUGGUCAAUACGAUGGGCGUGGUCACAGUUCUUCUUCCUGUCACACGCCACUCGUCAACUCCGAUCCAUCGCCUACCUGCACAGGUAACUGCUACAUGAUACAAGAACGGUAACAACCAGGUGUUACAGGUGAUAAGAACAAAGUGCAGGCUUAACAACCCCGGCGUCUGAAGAGCUGUUGCCGAGGAGUUUAGGUUUUGUUUCUGUUGGAAGAAUUAUAAACAGAGUCAAGAACUGGGAGGUGCAUCCAAACCCUGAGGGGAGGGUUCAUUGUGAUGAUAGCUCCGUUGUCUGGCAUACCCGCCGUGUAAGAACCUCCACCUGUUGAACGAACGACCUGGGUGGUGCUGUACACAUCCUCCCAAGAUGCUUUCAUUCGGAGUGGAAGCUUCGCUCAUCACAUCCCCUCACCUGAGGGACACCUGACCAGCCUUGACCCUACAGUGGCCUCAGGUGAUGGCGGCGGCGGUGGGUAGAACCCUGUGGACGUUGUGUUCGCCUUAUCGCUCGACUUCAAAUCUGCGGUCGAAGUUGUCGUCGGGGUGAAAAAAAAAAAAAAAAGGAAAGCAAACAAACUGACGCAACCAUGUGAUAAAACUAUAAAUCAUGGAAGCGAGCAUCGAAUGAUCUAGACCGUUCAACGUUGCGUUUCGCCGAUUCCCGCCGAUAAGGAAGAUUGUAGUGUAUCGUAAUGCCAUCGAUCUGCAGCCGGAACUUGAUACAGAUGCUCGGCAGCUUGGGUCCUGCUGCAGACAGAGAGACAAAGUUCAGGCUCCGCAAUCCCAGACUUGUCUGCAGCUCACACACCCGCCACUCAGCUGUAAUAACAAUACCUACGGACGUUGAAGGAAGGGAUUACACAGUUUUUAGUCGGAUGUAUCGAUGCACCCUGACACGUCCUGCCGACAGAAAAGCUUUUCCGCAUUGGCAGACGGCUGAAGCACAACAUGUAUGACGAUUGGCAUAAUGAAAACAUGGGUUAGCACACAAACGAUGUGUGGUUAAGGCUUCCUGAUGAGUUAAAUCUCACGAGUCGUCUUCGCUCAGGACUGAUGUUAAUUAUCUCCAGACCUCGGGCCGGAUACAGCAAAGAAGGAAGGACUUACAAGUACUUUAACCAUGCCCCUGCGGGUGAGUCGGGUGAAGCGCAAGCAGCAGGGUGCACAUUAUGAGUGGAAGGCCGGGUAUGUCUGCAGUCAGCGGGAGAUUAAAACAAAAAAACUGCUUUCACACGGAAUUGCAAGUGAGUGCAAGUCUUGAACACGACCAGAGUGAGAAUGGCUUCUGACUGGGAACGAGGUUCUCUGCUCAGAAAGCGAUGACUAAGUGUCUGAGAGCAGACGUGCCCGCCGGGUGGUGAACGCAGCUCACCCUUGUUGCAGGGGUCGCACACUUCAUGGCAGAGGCGUGUCCGGCGCGCUUGCCGCAGGUCAGCGGGUCACUUCCAGUGGAGUGGCUGCUGGUGUCUCUUCUGUACAUGCUGCUGGCCACGGAGAUCAUCAACAUCCUCCGAGACCGGUAUAUGAUCCAGGGUCACAGGUCAGACCUAAAGGACCCGACACCUGCAAGCCGACCUCUCGUUACUUCAACAAGGAAACCGUGCGGCAUGUCUCACAAGAAGAAAGCUGCUGGCUCAUUGGACCAUUUGUGGCGACGCAUGCGGCAAGCGACCAAUCAGAUGAGGCUUAUUAACCUGCGCCACCAAGUCAUCACCAAAGUGAUGAUGGAGUCUCGUAUCGAGGCCCGGAUGCAGGAGAGAGAGAAGCAGCAAAGGAAAAAGCAGAAGCUUCUGGCGGAGUUAAAGUGACACAGUGUGGACAUGACACAGUGUGGACAUGACACAAUGUGGACAUGACACAAUGUGGACAUGACACAAUGUGGACAUGACACAAUGUAGACAAACUAUUGGCUACGCGGACUCAUCCCAAUGUUAGUUAACAGAUGUUCUGUGUGACACUCAUUGACUGGAUGCUGUAGUAGCCGAUGCAUUUAAGCUUGAUGCUGUGAUGAUAACAGACGGGUGGAUGUGCAUGAUUUUCAUGGAAGAGGUGAGAAGAUGUUUGGAGAGGUUAAAGGUCAAUUUAAGCGCUAUACAAAAAAACGGGUAACAAUGUAUUUCACGAUGUUCCGAGAGAUCAAGAUUCUCAAGAAGUUAAUUAAUUUCAUCUCGAAUUAUAAUCCAAAGAAGUUAAUUCAAGACAUUUCUCAGAAAUAUUCCGAUUCAAGUUCCAGAAAGGCCAGGCUUACCCUAUCCCCUGUGUCUUGCCUCUUUUAUUGUUAGGAUCCUGCAACAUUCUUAAACAUCUGUUCUGUCUACAACAGUGGUUUUUUUUUCAAACGACAGGAAAAAGAUCGCUAGAGUCUGCUAAUAUUGUCGGUACCUUUAAGGUUGUUGUCCCUUUCUAAAUCCUGUGUGGGAUUCUGGUAUAACUUUGUUUUGAAACAGCCAGUCAUACAAUUCAGUGUUGAAUGACUGACGAAUAACAUUUGCCAAUCACAGCAGAGAGAUUCCUCUGUAAUUAAUGUGGGACUCAUGGUACAAUGACAACUUCUUUCCACAAGUGGGGACAUUUCCCAUUCACAAACACAUUGUUAAAGUAUUUGUUCAAAAUCCCAGAACACGUUCUACUCCUACCUUCAACAUUUCUGCCAAAAUGUUGUGUAUACCACAUGCCUUACCACAUCUCAGGCCCCUGAUUACUGAGUGUACCUCGUUUUCACAAAUAAUGUCAUUUACUGCUUCAGUUCAGGCAGGUGGUCAUUGCCACCUGGGUUUAGUCUGGAACAGGACAGGGUGUGAAAUAAUUGAAUGAUUUCUUUGAUACUGCCACAAACUAUAUUCAAACAGCUCUGAUAUUUUGUGCAUCAUCCUGGGCAGAUAAAACUUUGCCUCCUGACAAUCAUCGUCAAUCCUUUCUGUGAUUGUGUGCAAACAAUAAUUUUCUUCAUGUCCGUUGCAGGUGACUAGAGGCUGUUCACACCCUCAUGGCAAUAUUCGUGUUCUGUUUGACAAACUCGUGUUAGGUUCACUUGGUCUUGCCCUGUAGUCAACACAGAUGCGCCCUUUCUCCUGUCCCUCUAUUGUUUGUAAACAAUUUUCACCUGCACGUACAUCGGCUUAGUGUUGGUGAGACUGGCAGGUUGUCAGACUCUGUUUUCUUCGUUCAGUGUACAAACCUUCAUCACAAAGUUCAUUCGAUGUGCAAACAAACCCUAGCAGACUGGAUCCUGCCUCCGAGUUGAAAGUCCUACCACCAUCUACAUCGAAACAAGACUACAACCGUUAAAAAAUGUAGCAUUCAUAGUGUUAACUAUUGGAUCUUCUGACAUCAUGAGAGAGAGAGAGACAGAGAGAUGAAGUGUGUAUUUAUCUUCACGUGUGUCUCUGUGUCUCUGUGUGUCUGUGUGUCUCUGUGUGUCUGUGUAUAUCUGUCUAUUUGUACGUGUAUGUGCAGCCUCUAGUAAUCGGUUUUGUGUCUCGGCUUGACUGAAAAAAAGAACGAAUAAUAGCAGAAAUCGUGCCGUGAAAGAUAAAAGAAAGGUUUCAACUAGUCACAUCAUUGUGUGUAUAUGCGGGCAUCCCUGCAAAAAUGUGCAGAAUGUGAAAAUAACUGAAAAUAAAAGAGAUACAUAUAACAUACUUCUUUGCGCCCACGCGUGUGUUGGUGUUGCUGGUGGUAGUGUGUUUGUGUGUGUGCGUGCGUGCGCAUGUUUUUGUGGAUGCAUAUGCUAGCAACUAACAUGAGCUUUUGUCCUUAAAGUACCAGUGGGAUACACACACAAUCUCUUAGUCUCGUUCUACCAUCCCUCUCUCUCUCUCAAUCAAUCUACCUUUACCUCUCUCUCUUCCUUCCCUCUAUCUCUCUUUUAGAUACAAUUAAUUACUUACUCUCUGGAACACUCUCACACGCAUAAUUAGUCACUGUUUCUUUCUCCCUCCUAUCCUCUCU